This 536-nucleotide long non-coding RNA is filed under the name Daucus carota (carrot). RNAcentral's name for it is "long non-coding RNA (DCAR_LNC001042)". The record is from RNAcentral. Lineage: Eukaryota; Viridiplantae; Streptophyta; Magnoliopsida; Apiales; Apiaceae.
AUAAUGUGGUACAAUAGAAAGGGUUUAGCACCACCACCUUUGCAAUGUUACUGCAUUAUCUUGUUCUUGAUAACACAAAUUAAUGGUCAGAUUCCAAACCUAUUACCACCUAUUCCAAACCUAUUACCACCUAUUCCGAACCUCUUUCCACCGAUUCCAAACAUACUACCGCCCGUUCCAAACAUACAACCACCUGUUCCUAACUUGAUUCCACCCAUUCCGAACAUACUACCCCCCAUUCCGAACAUACUACCACCUAUUCCAAACCUAGUACCACCUAUUCCGAACAUACUACCGCCCGUUCCAAACAUACUACCACCUGUUCCUAACUUGAUUCCACCCAUUCCAAACAUACUACCGCCUAUUCCGAACCUAAUACCGCCCAUUCCGAACAUAUUACCCCCCAUUCCAAACGUACUACCACCUAUUCCAAACCUAAUACCGCCGAUUCCAAACCUACCAUCCAUUCCAGGGCUGCAAUCUCCGCCUGCAGAAGCGGAAACUUGUCCGAAAGACACAACCAAAAUGAAGGUGGA